CUGUCCUGCACCUGCCAUCACCAUGGAAAUGCUCCAGGGGAGGCCAUGUUCAAUCAGCCAAAAGCCAGCAAACACCCAGGCAGGGCAGGCACCUGCCCCCAUCGGAGGGCUCUCCCACCUGCGGCCCUGGACACAACCAUGUGCACAUUCCUCCUUCUCUGCCAUUGAAGACUUGUGGCUACUUGUUCUAUAUCAUCAGUGAUAUAUCAGGAUAACACGAUGAGUCUGGAGUUUGCUAUACAGAUUUAACAACUUUUGAAAAAGAAUGAAGGCUUUGUAUCACCUUCAAGGGCCAACUCAAUGUUUAUUGGAGAACAUUAUGCUCAAUGAAAGAGCCCCAUCACAGAAGGACAGAGACUGUAGGAUUCCACUCAUAUGAGGUAUCUAAGCAGCCAGACUCCUAGAAGCAGGGAGUGGAAUGGUCACUGCCACGAACCAGAAGAGGGAGAAAUGGGAGGUGGAGUGUCAGCUAUGCCCAAAAUGCCUACAACUCUGGGAGUUUAUCAACCAUCGGAUGUUUCCUUUGAAAGGAGAAUCAUUUAAUAGUACCUACAGCAUGUGGAGACACAGGCCAGAGUGGACAGAGCUGGAGAGAAGUCGAGAGAACCUCACUAGGGACCUCACCUGCACAGCUAACCUACACUUGAGUGCAUGCGCCAUCUCAGCCUUGUCUGCUUCGCCUUUAAUUUAAGAGUCAUAAAACCACAUAUUGAGGAAAUGAAAUGACACGUUAUAUAUCUUAUUUUUAUGGGCUUGUGUAUAUUUACAUGUAUUUACUUUUUGCAUAUGUUUCGUAAACUGUAAAGCACUAUAUUAACAUAAAGUAUUAC
Molecule: long non-coding RNA, 830 nt
Filed under: Mustela putorius furo (domestic ferret)
Lineage: Eukaryota; Metazoa; Chordata; Mammalia; Carnivora; Mustelidae
Description: lncRNA (ENSMPUG00000026592.1)
Source: RNAcentral